RNAcentral lists this long non-coding RNA (1107 nucleotides) under Calidris pygmaea (Spoon-billed sandpiper). RNAcentral's name for it is "lncRNA (ENSCPGG00000000237.1)". The record is from RNAcentral. Lineage: Eukaryota; Metazoa; Chordata; Aves; Charadriiformes; Scolopacidae.
GCGGCCAAGUAACCUGGGUCUGUCCCCACGGGGCAGCCAGCCCCCCCAUUGCACAGCACACUACCUUGUCAUCUUCCUCCCUGAAGCAGGAGAAGGAGGUGCUAAAGGGCAUCCAGACCACCAUCGUGCAGGUGCAAGGGAACUAUGAACAGCUCAACUCCGUCAUGGAGACCCUCCUGCACGACAGUCAGCAGCAGCAGAAGGAUACUGAGGUAGGUGGUUGAAACCCCCACAGGGUCCAAGCUUCCUCCCGGCAGAGCCCAGGCUGGGCACCACAAGGGAUUAGUCCCUUCCCUGGAGGUUUUUGAGGGGGGUGGGGAGGCAGGGGGUGCUGGGCUGGCUGGGAGGCAGCUCCAACCCUGCCAUGGCAUCACGGGGUGCUUUCUGCUUUGGAAGGCUCUGUUCCGGUCCCUGGAGAAGCUGGCGAAGGACAAAGCAGACAAGAACGACCUGGUGCUGGGACUUGAUGUGGUAUGGCCUCAAGGAUCCCUAGCAGGGUGACAAUCACCCCUUGUCCCUUGGGUGCUCAGUGGCAGAAGCGGCCAGGGGAGGGAGGACUUCCAGACCAGCAGCAGGUCCCUUGCUAGGUCCCUCUGUUUCGUCCCAGGUCCCUUAGGCUGCUGGGACCAGCCCCACUGGGGUGACAGGGCGAGGAGGGCCCUGUAGCCACUUUUCCCUCUCCUCCCGACACAAGCUGGCCCUGCCCAUGGUACCUCCACCCUUUCCCCACCAUUCUCCUGCCUUUCCCCCUUUCUAGAAAGCAGACAAAACCACCCUGGCCGGCAAAGUCAACCGCAGCGAGUUUGACACCAGGAUGGAGCGGCUGACUGAGACGGUCAAGGAGAUGCUGAGCCGGCAGAUGGACCAGGAGAAGGUCCAGCAACAACUUAGUGAAGAGGUGGCCUCCAAGCUGGAUCACACGGAGCUGGGGGCUCUCCAGAAACAGCUGGAGGGGCACUGGAAGAACAUCCAGAAGCAGCUCCAGAAGGAGUCACACACAGAGGCUGACGACGCAGCUGGGACUAAGAGGUGAGUGCAAUGGGGACAGUGUUGGCUUUGGGAACACCUCGCUGCUGCCUGCGAGCUGCCUGUCUGUGUCCCCUCCAG